GACGAACGUUGGCGGCGUGCUUAACACAUGCAAGUCGAACGGAAAGGCCCUGCUUUUGUGGGGUGCUCGAGUGGCGAACGGGUGAGUAACACGUGAGUAACCUGCCCUUGACUUUGGGAUAACUUCAGGAAACUGGGGCUAAUACCGGAUAGGAGCUCCUGCUGCAUGGUGGGGGUUGGAAAGUUUCGGCGGUUGGGGAUGGACUCGCGGCUUAUCAGCUUGUUGGUGGGGUAGUGGCUUAUCAAGGCUUUGACGGGUAGCCGGCCUGAGAGGGUGACCGGCCACAUUGGGACUGAGAUACGGCCCAGACUCCUACGGGAGGCAGCAGUGGGGAAUAUUGCACAAUGGGCGGAAGCCUGAUGCAGCAACGCCGCGUGCGGGAUGACGGCCUUCGGGUUGUAAACCGCUUUCGCCUGUGACGAAGCGUGAGUGACGGUAAUGGGUAAAGAAGCACCGGCUAACUACGUGCCAGCAGCCGCGGUGAUACGUAGGGUGCGAGCGUUGUCCGGAUUUAUUGGGCGUAAAGGGCUCGUAGGUGGUUGAUCGCGUCGGAAGUGUAAUCUUGGGGCUUAACCCUGAGCGUGCUUUCGAUACGGGUUGACUUGAGGAAGGUAGGGGAGAAUGGAAUUCCUGGUGGAGCGGUGGAAUGCGCAGAUAUCAGGAGGAACACCAGUGGCGAAGGCGGUUCUCUGGGCCUUUCCUGACGCUGAGGAGCGAAAGCGUGGGGAGCGAACAGGCUUAGAUACCCUGGUAGUCCACGCUGUAAACGGUGGGUACUAGGUGUGGGGUCCAUUCCACGGGUUCCGUGCCGUAGCUAACGCUUUAAGUACCCCGCCUGGGGAGUACGGCCGCAAGGCUAAAACUCAAAGGAAUUGACGGGGCCCCGCACAAGCGGCGGAGCAUGCGGAUUAAUUCGAUGCAACGCGUAGAACCUUACCUGGGUUUGACAUGGAUCGGGAGUGCUCAGAGAUGGGUGUGCCUCUUUUGGGGUCGGUUCACAGGUGGUGCAUGGCUGUCGUCAGCUCGUGUCGUGAGAUGUUGGGUUAAGUCCCGCAACGAGCGCAACCCUUGUUCACUGUUGCCAGCACGUUAUGGUGGGGACUCAGUGGAGACCGCCGGGGUCAACUCGGAGGAAGGUGGGGAUGACGUCAAGUCAUCAUGCCCCUUAUGUCCAGGGCUUCACGCAUGCUACAAUGGCUGGUACAGAGAGUGGCGAGCCUGUGAGGGUGAGCGAAUCUCGGAAAGCCGGUCUCAGUUCGGAUUGGGGUCUGCAACUCGACCUCAUGAAGUCGGAGUCGCUAGUAAUCGCAGAUCAGCAACGCUGCGGUGAAUACGUUCCCGGG
Molecule: ribosomal RNA, 1343 nt
Filed under: uncultured bacterium
Lineage: Bacteria
Description: 16S ribosomal RNA
Rfam family: Bacterial small subunit ribosomal RNA
Source: RNAcentral